GACGAACGCUGGCGGCGUGCUUAACACAUGCAAGUCGAACGGAAAGGCCCUGCUUUUGUGGGGUGCUCGAGUGGCGAACGGGUGAGUAACACGUGAGUAACCUGCCCUUGACUUUGGGAUAACUUCAGGAAACUGGGGCUAAUACCGGAUAGGAGCUCCUGCUGCAUGGUGGGGGUUGGAAAGUUUCGGCGGUUGGGGAUGGACUCGCGGCUUAUCAGCUUGUUGGUGGGGUAGUGGCUUACCCAGGCUUUGACGGGUAGCCGGCCUGAGAGGGUGACCGGCCACAUUGGGACUGAGAUACGGCCCAGACUCCUACGGGAGGCAGCAGUGGGGAAUAUUGCACAAUGGGCGGAAGCCUGAUGCAGCAACGCCGCGUGCGGGAUGACGGCCUUCGGGCUGUAAACCGCUUUCGCCUGUGACGAAGCGGGAGUGACGGUAAUGGGUAAAGAAGCACCGGCUAACUACGUG
This 468-nucleotide ribosomal RNA is filed under the name uncultured bacterium. Its description in RNAcentral is "partial 16S ribosomal RNA". It matches the Rfam family "Bacterial small subunit ribosomal RNA", at positions 28 to 507 of the family's 1533-position model. The record is from RNAcentral.